This 424-nucleotide long non-coding RNA is filed under the name Homo sapiens (human). RNAcentral's name for it is "HSALNT0241295". The record is from RNAcentral. Lineage: Eukaryota; Metazoa; Chordata; Mammalia; Primates; Hominidae.
CUCCUAAUCUCGUGAUCUGCCCACCUCAGCCUCCCAAAUAGCUGGGACUACAGGCGUGUGCCGCCAUGCCCGGCCAAUUUUUGUUUUUAUAGAAACGGGGUUUUGCUGCCAGGCGCAGUGGCUCACGCCUGUAAUCCCAGCACUUUGGGAGGCUGAGGUGGGCAGAUCACGAGAUCAGGAGAUCAAGACCAUCCUGGCUAACACGGUGAAACCCCGUCUCUAGUAAAAAUAUAAAAAAUUAGCCAGUCGUGGUGUGGUGGGUGCCUGUAGUCCCAGCUACUUGGGAGGCUGAGGCAGGAGAAUGGCAUGGACCCGGGAGGUGGAGCUUGCAGUGAGCCAAGAUCACGUCAUUGCACUCCAGCCUAGGCGACAGAGCGAGACUCCGUCUCAAAAUAAAAGAAGCCUGGGCGUGGUGGCUCACGCC